RNAcentral lists this ribosomal RNA (465 nucleotides) under Vreelandella stevensii. RNAcentral's name for it is "partial 16S ribosomal RNA". It matches the Rfam family "Bacterial small subunit ribosomal RNA", at positions 338 to 795 of the family's 1533-position model. Lineage: Bacteria; Pseudomonadati; Pseudomonadota; Gammaproteobacteria; Oceanospirillales; Halomonadaceae. The record is from RNAcentral.
CCUACGGGGGGCUGCAGUGGGGAAUAUUGGACAAUGGGGGCAACCCUGAUCCAGCCAUGCCGCGUGUGUGAAGAAGGCCCUCGGGUGGUAAAGCACUUUCAGUGAGGAAGAACGCCUGGUGGUUAAUACCCAUCAGGAAAGACAUCACUCACAGAAGAAGCACCGGCUAACUCCGUGCCAGCAGCCGCGGUAAUACGGAGGGUGCGAGCGUUAAUCGGAAUUACUGGGCGUAAAGCGCGCGUAGGUGGCUUGAUAAGCCGGUUGUGAAAGCCCCGGGCUCAACCUGGGAACGGCAUCCGGAACUGUCAAGCUAGAGUGCAGGAGAGGAAGGUAGAAUUCCCGGUGUAGCGGUGAAAUGCGUAGAGAUCGGGAGGAAUACCAGUGGCGAAGGCGGCCUUCUGGACUGACACUGACACUGAGGUGCGAAAGCGUGGGUAGCAAACAGGAUUAGAUACCCCUGUAGUC